AUACGUAGGGGGCGAGCGUUGUCCGGAAUGAUUGGGCGUAAAGGGCGCGUAGGCCGCCCGGUAAGUCUGGAGUGAAAGUCCUGUUUUUGAGAUGGGAAUUGCUUUGGAUACUGUCGGGCUUGAGUGCAGGAGAGGUAAGUGGAAUUCCCAGUGUAGCGGUGAAAUGCGUAGAGAUUGGGAGGAACACCAGUGGCGAAGGCGACUUACUGGACUGUAACUGACGCUGAGGCGCGAAAGUGUGGGGAGCAAACAGGAUUAGAUACCCUGGUAGUCCACACUGUAAACGAUGAAUGCUAGGUGUAGGGGGUAUCGACCCCUUCUGUGCCGCAGUCAACACAAUAAGCAUUCCGCCUGGGGAGUACGGCCGCAAGGUUGAAACUCAAAGGAAUUGACGGGG
This 397-nucleotide ribosomal RNA is filed under the name uncultured bacterium. RNAcentral's name for it is "partial 16S ribosomal RNA". It matches the Rfam family "Bacterial small subunit ribosomal RNA", at positions 523 to 918 of the family's 1533-position model. The record is from RNAcentral.